RNAcentral lists this non-coding RNA (23 nucleotides) under Arabidopsis thaliana (thale cress). Lineage: Eukaryota; Viridiplantae; Streptophyta; Magnoliopsida; Brassicales; Brassicaceae. The record is from RNAcentral.
CUGUACAGUGAUCUACAUCCGUA